This 508-nucleotide ribosomal RNA is filed under the name uncultured Chloroflexota bacterium. RNAcentral describes it as "uncultured Chloroflexi bacterium partial 16S ribosomal RNA". It matches the Rfam family "Bacterial small subunit ribosomal RNA", at positions 351 to 875 of the family's 1533-position model. Lineage: Bacteria; Bacillati; Chloroflexota. The record is from RNAcentral.
GCAGCAGGGAAUCUUGGGCAAUGGGCGAAAGCCUGACCCAGCGACGUCGCGUGGGGGAMGAAGGCCUUAGGGUUGUAAACCCCUUUUCYGAGGGAAGAGAUAGGACGGUACCUCGGGAAUAAGCCYCGGCUAACUACGUGCCAGCAGCCGCGGUAAUACGUAGGGGGCAAGCGUUAYCCGGAAUCACUGGGCGUAAAGUGCGCGUAGGCGGYUUGAUAAGUCUCUUGUGAAAKCUCCCGGCUCAACUGGGAGAGGUCAAGGGAUACUAUYCGACURGAGGACAGCAGAGGUAAGCRGAAUUCCCGGUGUAGCGGUGGAAUGCGUAGAUAUCGGGAGGAACACCAGUGGCGAAAGCGGCUUWCUGGGCUGUYCUGACGCUGAGGCGCGAGAGCGUGGGGAGCAAACUGGAUUAGAUACCCAGGUAGUCCACGCCCUAAACGAUGGAUACUAGWUAUGGGGGGUAUUGACCCCCUCCCGUGCCGUAGCUAACGCAUAAGUAUCCCGCCUG